CCUACGGGUGGCAGCAGUAGGGAAUAUUGCUCAAUGGGGGAAACCCUGAAGCAGCAACGCCGCGUGGAGGAUGAAGGUCUUCGGAUUGUAAACUCCUUUUGUUAGAGAAGAUAAUGACGGUAUCUAUAGAAUAAGCACUGGAUAAUUCCGUGACAGCAGCCGCGGUAAUACGGAGGGUGCAAGCGUUACUCGGAAUCACGGGGCGUAAAGAGCGCGUAGGCGGGUUAGCAAGUCAGAUGUGAAAUCCUAUGGCUUAACCAUAGAACUGCAUUUGAAACUGGUAUUCUAGAGUAUGGGAGAGGUAGGUGGAAUUCUUGGUGUAGCGGUAAAAUCCGUAGAGAUCAAGAGGAAUACUCAUUGCGAAGGCGACCUGCUAGAACAUAACUGACGCUGAUGCGCGAAAGCGUGGGGAGCAAACAGGAUUAGAUACCCGGGUAGUC
Molecule: ribosomal RNA, 440 nt
Filed under: uncultured bacterium
Lineage: Bacteria
Description: partial 16S ribosomal RNA
Rfam family: Bacterial small subunit ribosomal RNA
Source: RNAcentral